AGUGAACGCUGGCGGCAGGCCUAAUACAUGCAAGUCGAACGGCAGCACAGCAGAGCUUGCUCUGUGGGUGGCGAGUGGCGGACGGGUGAGGAAUACAUGGGAAUCUGCCCAGUCGUGGGGGAUAACGUAUGGAAACGUACGCUAAUACCGCAUGCGCCCUACGGGGGAAAGCCGGGGACCGCAAGGCCUGGCGCGAUUGGAUGAGCCCAUGUUCGAUUAGCUAGUUGGCGGGGUAAAGGCCCACCAAGGCGACGAUCGAUAGCUGGUCUGAGAGGAUGAUCAGCCACACUGGAACUGAGACACGGUCCAGACUCCUACGGGAGGCAGCAGUAGGGAAUAUUGGACAAUGGGGGCAACCCUGAUCCAGCCAUGCCGCGUGAGUGAAGAAGGCCCUCGGGUUGUAAAGCUCUUUUGUCCGGAAAGAAAGCAAUCGGUUAAUACCCGGUUGUUCUGACGGUACCGGAAGAAUAAGCACCGGCUAACUUCGUGCCA
RNAcentral lists this ribosomal RNA (492 nucleotides) under uncultured bacterium. Its description in RNAcentral is "bacterial SSU rRNA". It matches the Rfam family "Bacterial small subunit ribosomal RNA", at positions 29 to 510 of the family's 1533-position model. The record is from RNAcentral.